RNAcentral lists this ribosomal RNA (558 nucleotides) under Triticum aestivum (bread wheat). Its description in RNAcentral is "partial small subunit ribosomal RNA". The record is from RNAcentral. Lineage: Eukaryota; Viridiplantae; Streptophyta; Magnoliopsida; Poales; Poaceae.
AUGCAUGAUUCGGAGGUCGCGCUUGGUAGCAGUACUAGUACUGAUAAUCCAUAUUUACUGGUUGAGGCUUCUUCAACUGUACAACCAACACCACCUAUCAUAGAAGUUGACUGGGAUAACUUACAAAUAGUAGAGACACAUGAUGAUGAAGGUAGAGUUGAACUAGUGAGUGAGGAUCAACUAUGUGAGAUUUUGGGCUUGAAGGAUGACGAGGAAGAGAAAAAGAGUAAGACUGAACCAAAGCGUCAUAGAAUGGUUGAGCAGGGGACCGAUAAUGAAGGUGCUGCCAUUCCUGUUAGUGAUGCAAUACCAAAUGAAGUAGUGAUUACAUAUGAUAAGGACCAGCCAAAAAUGGACCUUGGCACUAUGUAUCCAUCAAUGAAGGAAUUCAGGUUAGCUGUAAGACAAUUUGCCAUCAAUGAAGAGUUUGAUCUAGGCACGGAGAAGUCAGAUAAGAAGAGAUUUAGAGGGUUCUGCAAGUCAAGUGAAGAUUGCCCUUGGAGAAUUGUUGGCAGCCUACAGGAUGACAAAUGUACUAUAAAGGUGAAAUAUGGAUAA